GACGAACGCUGGCGGCGUGCUUAACACAUGCAAGUCGAACGGAAAGGCCCUGUUUUUGGGGGGUGCUCGAGCGGCGAACGGGUGAGUAACACGUGAGUAACCUGCCCUUGACUUUGGGAGAACUUCAGGAAACUGGGGACAAUACCGGAUAGGAGCCCCUGCUGCAUGGUGGGGGUUGGAAAGGUUCGGCGGUUGGGGAUGGACUCGCGGCUUAGCAGCCCGUUGGGGGGGUAGUGGCUCACAAAGGCGUGGACGGGUAGCCGGCCUGGGAGGGUGACCGGCCCCAUAGUCCCUGGGGUGCGGCCCGUGCGCAUUCUUGGGGCAGGGGCGGAGGAUUUUGCACAAUGGGCCGAGGCCGGGUACAGCGCCUCCGCGUUCGGGAUGACGGCCUUCGGGUUGGAAACCGCUUUCGCCUGUGACGAAGCGUGAUGGCCGGUACUGGGUAAAGAAGCACCGCUUACCUCCUU
RNAcentral lists this ribosomal RNA (467 nucleotides) under uncultured bacterium. Its description in RNAcentral is "partial 16S ribosomal RNA". It matches the Rfam family "Bacterial small subunit ribosomal RNA", at positions 28 to 506 of the family's 1533-position model. The record is from RNAcentral.